Molecule: long non-coding RNA, 620 nt
Filed under: Olea europaea subsp. europaea
Lineage: Eukaryota; Viridiplantae; Streptophyta; Magnoliopsida; Lamiales; Oleaceae
Source: RNAcentral
CUCUCUUCCAUCUCUCUAUUUGUGUUGUCUCUCUGUUCUCUCUCAAUUUGCUCAACCGCCAUCCACCAACUUGUGCUACCGUCAUGGAGAACCAACCAUCGCCUUCCCUCUCACAAUCGUUCGUGGAUCAACACUCAAUCAAAUUCCAAUUGUAGGGGGUGGAGAACCUAACUCAAGCCCCACACAAAAAACAAAUGAAUCUUGAAAUUGAACUUGCAUAGUGGCUGGUAAGGCUGCUACAGGAGUAGCGUUGUGGUGGCUAGCGGUAGAGAUGACACCAUAGGGACGAUGGAUGUAGACGAAAGAUGAGGUGAUUGGUGUGAUUUGGGUAGUAAUUUUGAAGUCUGAGGCUGAAGAAUUUAGCAUUUGUGAUUUCGUGGGACAUCAACAAAGCUAGGUAUUAGUGUGAGAUUGGCUACAAAUUUGGAGUUGGUAGUGGUCAACAUGAUGGUGAAGAUGUUGUUUGGAGUUGAUAUUUACCCAAAAGAAACUGUCGAUGGUGGUCAAAUUAUAAGCGCCCAAUGGGAGGUGGUGGUGAGAAGUUAUUGGUAUUAGGGGUUGGGGUGGGGUGUUUGAGGAAGAAGAUUAAAAAAAAUUUAUUAUUAUUAUUUUAAUUGUUU